RNAcentral lists this ribosomal RNA (452 nucleotides) under uncultured bacterium. Its description in RNAcentral is "bacterial SSU rRNA". It matches the Rfam family "Bacterial small subunit ribosomal RNA", at positions 29 to 506 of the family's 1533-position model. The record is from RNAcentral.
ACGAACGCUAGCGGCGUGCCUAAGGUAUGCAAGUCGAACGGGGGGAGCAAUCCCCUAGUGGCGAACGGUCGAGUAACACGUAGACCACCUAUCUCCCAGUGGGGGACAACCGCGGGAAACUGCGGCUAAUACCGCAUAUGGCGCCGGGAAGCCUUUCCGGGUGGCCAAAGGAGCAAUUCGCUGGGAGCUGGGUCUGCGGCCUAUCAGCUUGUUGGUGAGGUAACGGCUCACCAAGGCGACGACGGGUAGCUGGUCUGAGAGGAUGAUCAGCCGGACGGGGACUGAGACACGGCCCCGACUCCUCCGGGAGGCAGCAAUGAGGAAUAUUGCACAAUGGGCGCAAGCCUGAUGCAGCGACGCCGCGUGGGUGAGGAAGUCCUUCGGGAUGUAAAGCCCUUUUGCCGGGGACGAUACCAGACGGUACCCGGCGAAUAAGCCCCGGCUAACUACGU